GGCCGUUCAGGGAUCAUCAGGCCCACAGGAUCCAAGAUGAGGGCAAGCCUUCCAGCAGUGACUGGACUCGGACCAGUUGAAAGAACGUUUCACAAAUUAUUCCAGCCAUAGGCAGCGCUGGGGAGGCUGGCAGAGCAAGCGGCAGUCAGGGGGCCAGGAACCUAGUUCCCUCCUUCUCCCCCCAAGCCAGCAGGAGGCCAGGAGUAUGUGUGUGGGUGCCUUCCUCUUCCAUCACCGGAGAGCCACCUUCAGGAGAAGCCACUGUAUCCCAGGGAGCCUCAGCAUUCCCUGGAGAGACCGUAUGCAUGACCAGGCCAUUAGCUACAGUCAAACUGAAGGAGCCACACGUUCUCUCCGCACUUGGGUGACCACGGGAGUGAACUGUGUUGACCUGAUUAGCUCCAGCGAACUUGCAGCUGGCCCUGAUGGGUCGUUGGUUUAAACACUUCAGGUGCUACAGACACUUCUGAAACUCUUUAGAAAACCGUGAACUCUCUUGCCAGGAAUACGCACACAUGAACAAAAGCCUGCCCUUCGCCCCCUGGAACACCUCCAUCCGAUCAAGGUUACCAUCUUGAUAAGACGAGGGGACUGAGAAGUAGACGUGAAAUGAAUGGUCCAAUGUCACACAGCUGGCAAGAGCAAAGUCUCCAACUCCAAGUCCAAGGCCAUGGAGAGGGAAGGACAGCGAUGCCGGGAAUCCGGGAACGUUUUUCUCUUCUGGCCGCGGCCAGUCCCGGAGUCCUGCUCUCCUUACAUCCAGAGCAGCUCUGAUGUGACCCUGGCUGCCAGCCAGCACUUGUGCCUGUCAGCCAAUGCUCGUGCCCGCCCACGUUCAUGGCCGGCAGCCCUGUCUGAGGUCUCUGCCAGCAAACAUG
Molecule: long non-coding RNA, 878 nt
Organism: Pipistrellus kuhlii (Kuhl's pipistrelle)
Lineage: Eukaryota; Metazoa; Chordata; Mammalia; Chiroptera; Vespertilionidae
Exons: 3
Source: RefSeq, a predicted model, not a curated record